CUGAUGAGCACACCGCGUGAGUGAGAGGGUUUCGGCUCGUAAGCUCUGUUGUUGGAGAAGAACGUGCGUGAGAGUAACUGUUCACGCAGUGACGGUAUCCAACCAGAAAGUCACGGCUAACUACGUGCCAGCAGCCGCGGUAAUACGUAGGUGGCAAGCGUUAUCCGGAUUUAUUGGGCGUAAAGCGAGCGCAGGCGGUUGCUUAGGUCUGAUGUGAAAGCCUUCGGCUUAACCGAAGAAGUGCAUCGGAAACCGGGCGACUUGAGUGCAGAAGAGGACAGUGGAACUCCAUGUGUAGCGGUGGAAUGCGUAGAUAUAUGGAAGAACAUCAGUGGCGAAGGCGGCUGUCUGGUCUGCAACUGACGCUGAGGCUCGAAAGCAUGGGUAGCGAACA
This 394-nucleotide ribosomal RNA is filed under the name Limosilactobacillus reuteri. RNAcentral describes it as "bacterial SSU rRNA". It matches the Rfam family "Bacterial small subunit ribosomal RNA", at positions 383 to 774 of the family's 1533-position model. The record is from RNAcentral. Lineage: Bacteria; Bacillati; Bacillota; Bacilli; Lactobacillales; Lactobacillaceae.